This 466-nucleotide ribosomal RNA is filed under the name uncultured bacterium. RNAcentral describes it as "partial 16S ribosomal RNA". It matches the Rfam family "Bacterial small subunit ribosomal RNA", at positions 28 to 507 of the family's 1533-position model. The record is from RNAcentral.
GACGAACGCUGGCGGCGUGCUUAACACAUGCCAGUCGAACGGAAAGGCCCUGCUUUUGUGGGGUGCUCGAGUGGCGAACGGGUGAGUAACACGUGAGUAACCUGCCCUUGACUUUGGGAUAACUUCAGGAAACUGGGGCUAAUACCGGAUAGGAGCUCCUGCUGCAUGGUGGGGGUUGGAAAGUUUCGGCGGUUGGGGAUGGACUCGCGGCUUAUCAGCUUGUUGGUGGGGUAGUGGCUUACCAAGGCUUUGACGGGUAGCCGGCCUGAGGGUGACCGGCCACAUUGGGACUGAGAUACGGCCCAGACUCCUACGGGAGGCAGCAGUGGGGAAUAUUGCACAAUGGGCGGAAGCCUGAUGCAGCAACGCCGCGUGCGGGAUGACGGCCUUCGGGUUGUAAACCGCUUUCGCCUGUGACGAAGCGUGAGUGACGGUAAUGGGUAAAGAAGCACCGGCUAACUACGUG